AAGUCGUAACAAGGUCUCCGUUGGUGAACCAGCGGAGGGAUCAUUACUGAGUCGUAAAAACUCCCAAACCCAUGUGAACUUACCUAUGUUGCCUCGGCAGGACCUACCCGGGACCUACCCUGUAGCUACCUUGUAGCCUGCCGGUGGACAUCUAGACUUUCUUGUUUUUUAAUAGAAAUCAUGAACUGUUCUUAAUUAAAUAAGAUCAAA
Molecule: unclassified non-coding RNA, 210 nt
Filed under: plant metagenome
Description: partial contains small subunit ribosomal RNA and internal transcribed spacer 1
Rfam family: Eukaryotic small subunit ribosomal RNA (bases 1-46)
Source: RNAcentral